GGCGGUUGCUGCUCAAAACUCUCCGCUGGGGUAGAGGAGGAGUGACGGAAGGCGGAAGUACGGGGAGAGGACGGGAUGUAUCCGGGUCCUUGUGCCGUUACCUACGAAUUGCCUAGUGACUGUGUUGACAGAGGCCCACCUGAAAUCGUAAAUAUUCUAUUACCUGAAAGGUAAGCUUGUAGUUCUCCACAAGAUUUCCGUGAUACCUUUCUCCAAUAUAAGCCACUUUAGCGCGGAUAAAUGAUUCCGCGUUAGGGGCUUCGGACAUCUACCAAGAUCAGUUAACCUCGGGCCCACACCCCAAAACAAACCAGUGCCUCCUGUGAAUCUCCCUACUGAAAUUUCCUGUUGUGGUACCACCCGAAAAGGGAGGGUCUAGUAAAUUUGUCUGUCAGCUCUAGCAUCACCUGAAAAUAAACCUCCAUGAAAAAGC
Lontra canadensis (Northern American river otter) is the source of this 433-nucleotide long non-coding RNA. RefSeq lists it as uncharacterized. NCBI's taxonomy places the organism in Eukaryota, Metazoa, Chordata, Mammalia, Carnivora, Mustelidae. The transcript has 2 exons. The record is from RefSeq and is a predicted model, not a curated record.